Molecule: non-coding RNA, 317 nt
Filed under: Otolemur garnettii (small-eared galago)
Lineage: Eukaryota; Metazoa; Chordata; Mammalia; Primates; Galagidae
Source: Rfam by way of RNAcentral
GCUGGGCGUUGUGGUGGGCGCCUGUGGUCCCAGCUACUUGGGAGGCUGAGGCAGGAGACUCGCUUGAGCCCAGGAACUGGAGGUUGCUGUGAGCUGUGAUGCCACAGUACUCUACCCAGGGGGACAGCUUGAGGCUCUAUCUCUAAAAAAAAAAAAAAGAUAAAUAGACUAAAGGUAGUCUUAGAUUUCAACCCCAAAUCUUUUUAUUUUUUAUUUUUUUAGACAGAGCCUCAAGCUGUCACCCUGGGUAGAGAGCCAUGGCAUCACAGCUCACAGCAACCUCAAUCUCCUGGGCUUAAGCGAUUCUCUUGCCUCAG